RNAcentral lists this ribosomal RNA (253 nucleotides) under uncultured bacterium. RNAcentral describes it as "partial 16S ribosomal RNA". It matches the Rfam family "Bacterial small subunit ribosomal RNA", at positions 524 to 776 of the family's 1533-position model. The record is from RNAcentral.
UACAGAGGUCCCAAGCGUUGUUCGGAUUUACUGGGCGUAAAGGGUGCGUAGGUGGUCGGGUAAGUCUCAUGUGAAAUCUCCAAGCUCAACUUGGAAAUGGCAUGGGAUACUAUUCGGCUAGAGGAUUGGAGGGGGGACUGGAAUUCCCGGUGUAGCAGUGAAAUGCGUAGAUAUUGGGAGGAACACCAGUGGCGAAGGCGGCUCACUGGACCGGAACUGACGCUGAGGCGCGAAAGCGUGGGGAGCAAACGGG